RNAcentral lists this ribosomal RNA (426 nucleotides) under uncultured bacterium. RNAcentral describes it as "bacterial SSU rRNA". It matches the Rfam family "Bacterial small subunit ribosomal RNA", at positions 354 to 771 of the family's 1533-position model. The record is from RNAcentral.
GCAGGGAAUCUUGCGCAAUGGGCGAAAGCCUGACGCAGCAACGCCGCGUGGGGGAUGAAGGCCUUCGGGUCGUAAAAUCCUGUCAGAUGGAAAGAAAUGCAUAGUCGCUAAUAUCGGCUAUGUUUGACGGUACCAUCAAAGGCAGCACCGGCUAACUCCGUGCCAGCAGCCGCGGUAAUACGGAGGGUGCAAGCGUUGUUCGGAAUUACUGGGCGUAAAGCGCGCGUAGGCGGCUUUUUAAGUCAGAUGUGAAAGUCCACGGCUCAAUCGUGGAAGUGCAUUUGAUACUGGGAGGCUUGAGUACUGGAGGGGAUGGUGGAAUUCCCGGUGUAGAGGUGAAAUUCGUAGAUAUCGGGAGGAAUACCGGUGGCGAAGGCGACCAUCUGGCCAGAUACUGACGCUGAGGUGCGAAAGCGUGGGGAGCAA